UACUUGAGUACGCACAAAGUGGGCGGAAUUCGUGGUGUAGCGGUGAAAUGCUUAGAUAUCACGAAGAACUCCGAUUGCGAAGNCAGCUCACUGGAGCGCAACUGACGCUGAAGCUCGAAAGUGCGGGUAUCGAACAGGAUUAGAUACCCUGGUAGUCCGCACGGUAAACGAUGGAUGCCCGCUGUUGGUCUGAAUAGGUCAGCGGCCAAGCGAAAGCAUUAAGCAUCCCACCUGGGGAGU
Molecule: ribosomal RNA, 240 nt
Filed under: uncultured bacterium
Lineage: Bacteria
Description: partial 16S ribosomal RNA
Rfam family: Bacterial small subunit ribosomal RNA
Source: RNAcentral